GUGAGGAAUUUUCCGCAAUGGGCGAAAGCCUGACGGAGCAAUGCCGCGUGAAGGAUGAAGGCCUAUGGGUUGUAAACUUCUUUUCUUAGAGAAGAAUAUUGACGGUAUCUGAGGAAUAAGCAUCGGCUAACUCUGUGCCAGCAGCCGCGGUAAGACAGAGGAUGCAAGCGUUAUCCGGAAUGAUUGGGUUUAAAGGGUCCGCAGGCGGGAUUGUAAGUCAGUGGUGAAAUCCGGCAGCUCAACUGUCGCACUGCCAUUGAUACUGCAGUCCUUGAAUUCGAUUGGAGUGGGCGGAAUAUGUCAUGUAGCGGUGAAAUGCUUAGAUAUGACAUAGAACACCGAUAGCGAAGGCAGCUCACUAAGUCUGAAUUGACGCUCAUGGACGAAAGCGCGGGUAGCAAACAGGAUUAGAAACCCUGGUAGUCC
RNAcentral lists this ribosomal RNA (426 nucleotides) under uncultured bacterium. Its description in RNAcentral is "partial 16S ribosomal RNA". It matches the Rfam family "Bacterial small subunit ribosomal RNA", at positions 354 to 796 of the family's 1533-position model. The record is from RNAcentral.